AAUCAUUCACGGACAACACUU
RNAcentral lists this non-coding RNA (21 nucleotides) under Gorilla gorilla (western gorilla). Its record names the gene ggo-miR-382. RNAcentral also lists the same sequence under 7 other names. The record is from miRBase by way of RNAcentral. Lineage: Eukaryota; Metazoa; Chordata; Mammalia; Primates; Hominidae.